GGAGGGGGCCAGCGUUGUUCGGAAUUAUUGGGCGUAAAGGGCGCGCAGGCGGUUGUGCAAGUCAGUUGUGAAAUCCCCUGGCUCACCCUGGGAACUGCUUCUGAAACUGCAUGACUUGAGUCCGGGAGAGGAGAGUGGAAUUCCCAGUGUAGCGGUGGAAUGCGUAGAUAUUGGGAGGAACACCAGUGGCGAAGGCGGCUCUCUGGACCGGUACUGACGCUGAGGCGCGAAAGCUAGGGGGAGCAAACAGGAUUAGAUACCCUGGUAGUCCUAGCUGUAAACGAUGGGCACUUGGUGUUGCGGGUAUUGACCCCUGCAGUGCCGUAGCUAACGCGAUAAGUGCCCCCGCCUGGGAGUACGGUCGCAAGGCUG
Molecule: ribosomal RNA, 372 nt
Filed under: uncultured organism
Description: partial 16S ribosomal RNA
Rfam family: Bacterial small subunit ribosomal RNA
Source: RNAcentral